CUGAGCUACCUCGGUGAACUAGUGUGGAACCUUCGGUUGAACCUCAAUGAAGAAAUCGGUCUCAGGCUAGGUCAGACUGCCCUGCUUCCUCGUAGAGGAAGGAGGAAGAGCCCUGGCCAGAGUGUCGCGAGUCCCUGGUUUGAGUCUCAGCCCUGCUUCCCAUUCUCUGCGCAAAAGAGAACGUUCACCUGCACGGAUCCACCUGUCUUCUUAUCUGAGCAAGGGGUUGAUAACGCCUUGCUGGGGGAAGAGGAGACUGAGCCAGCGUUGGAGAGAUCGUGGUCACUAAGGUCAAGAACAGCCAGGAGGGUUGAAAGAACAAGAGCUCCUAAGAUACAGAACUUAAGUACUAUGGCCCCAUUUCAAGAUGAAGACACUGAGGCUCAGAGAGGGGAGGGACUGCCACAGCUUGAAGCAGUGACACGAGAAUCUGAACUCUGGACAUCCAAUUCCCAAGCCCCACUGGAGGGGCUCAGCGCACCACCCCCGCCCUCAAGGACCAGGCGGUGUUGGGACUCACGGCGCAGGCCACGGGCCGGAAGGAGUUCCGAUCCCCCUGGACUCACGCGCCACUCAGCACUUUCAAAGAUCGAACAGUCUCAAAGCCAAGCUCCAGCACGCUGGGGCACUCAGCCGUGAACUCAUGCC
Molecule: long non-coding RNA, 648 nt
Organism: Cervus elaphus (red deer)
Lineage: Eukaryota; Metazoa; Chordata; Mammalia; Artiodactyla; Cervidae
Exons: 3
Source: RefSeq, a predicted model, not a curated record